GGCUGGUCUGAAGGUAGUGAGUUAUCUCAGUUGAUUGUUCACGGUCAGUUACAGACUGAACUCCUUGUUCUUCUCUUUCCCCUCUUACUGCUGCACUUGACUAGUCUUAA
RNAcentral lists this Y RNA (110 nucleotides) under Propithecus coquereli (Coquerel's sifaka). Its description in RNAcentral is "Y RNA (ENSPCOG00000009139.1)". It matches the Rfam family "Y RNA". Rfam says of the family: Y RNAs are components of the Ro ribonucleoprotein particle (Ro RNP), in association with Ro60 and La proteins. The Y RNAs and Ro60 and La proteins are well conserved, but the function of the Ro RNP is not known. The record is from Rfam by way of RNAcentral. Lineage: Eukaryota; Metazoa; Chordata; Mammalia; Primates; Indriidae.